Molecule: RNase P RNA, 292 nt
Filed under: Thermoprotei archaeon
Lineage: Archaea; Thermoproteati; Thermoproteota; Thermoprotei
Description: RNase P RNA component
Rfam family: Archaeal RNase P
About the family: Ribonuclease P (RNase P) is a ubiquitous endoribonuclease, found in archaea, bacteria and eukarya as well as chloroplasts and mitochondria.
Source: RNAcentral
GGGAGAGGUCGGGCAGCCCUCGGGUGCCGUCGUGCACCUGAGGAAAGUCCCCCUCCGUCGGGGAGCGCGGCGCCGUGAGGCGCCAGCCGAGAGGCUGGGGGCAAAGCCAAAGAAACGGCACGUCCACCAGCUCAUGGCCAUGAUGGGCCCAAAACCUUGAGGACGCUGGUGGAAGCGUUGAAACGAGGCGACCCCCGCGUGGAACAAGGCGAACCGCGAUGAGGGCCCCGAUGAGCGGUAAGCCGCAUAGUCAAAUGUUGCCCAAACAGAAGGGGGAUUACGAACCUCACCC